CCCCCACAUGGCUGGGGCGGAUCGGGGGCGCACGGCCUGAAAGGCCGUCCCGCAAGGGGUGCUGGCCGCAGGUUGCAAACCCGCGCAGGCGA
Molecule: transfer RNA, 92 nt
Filed under: Pseudogemmobacter humi
Lineage: Bacteria; Pseudomonadati; Pseudomonadota; Alphaproteobacteria; Rhodobacterales; Paracoccaceae
Description: Xinfangfangia sp. CIP 111625 tRNA-Phe
Source: RNAcentral